RNAcentral lists this ribosomal RNA (845 nucleotides) under methanogenic archaeon enrichment culture clone NapK-80_100-enr37. Its description in RNAcentral is "bacterial SSU rRNA". It matches the Rfam family "Archaeal small subunit ribosomal RNA", at positions 317 to 1162 of the family's 1478-position model. The record is from RNAcentral.
CAGGCCCUACGGGGCGCAGCAGGCGCGAAAACUUUACAAUGCGGGAAACCGCGAUAAGGGGAUACCGAGUGCCAGCAUAUUAUGUUGGCUGUCCACAUGUGUAAACGGCAUGUGUUAGCAAGGGCCGGGCAAGACCGGUGCCAGCCGCCGCGGUAACACCGGCGGCCCGAGUGGUAAUCACUUUUAUUGGGUCUAAAGGGUCCGUAGCCGGUUUGAUCAGUUCUUCGGGAAAUCUGACAGCUCAACUGUUAGGCUUCCGGGGAAUACUGUCAGACUUGGGACCGGGAGAGGUAAGAGGUACUACAGGGGUAGGAGUGAAAUCUUGUAAUCCCUGUGGGACCACCAGUGGCGAAGGCGUCUUACCAGAACGGGUCCGACGGUGAGGGACGAAAGCUGGGGGCACGAACCGGAUUAGAUACCCGGGUAGUCCCAGCCGUAAACGAUGUUCGCUAGGUGUCAGGGACGGUGCGACCGUUUCUGGUGCCGUAGGGAAGCCGUGAAGCGAACCACCUGGGAAGUACGGCCGCAAGGCUGAAACUUAAAGGAAUUGGCGGGGGAGCACUACAACGGGUGGAGCCUGCGGUUUAAUUGGACUCAACGCCGGAAAACUCACCGGGGGCGACAGCAAGAUGUAGGUCAGGCUAAAGACCUUACCUGAAUCGCUGAGAGGAGGUGCAUGGCCGUCGUCAGUUCGUACUGUGAAGCAUCCUGUUAAGUCAGGCAACGAGCGAGACCCGUGCCCACUGUUGCCAGCAUGUCCUUCGGGAUGAUGGGUACUCUGUGGGGACCGCUGGUGCUAAACCAGAGGAAGGUGCGGGCUACGGUAGGUCAGUAUGCCCCGAAUC